Molecule: long non-coding RNA, 147 nt
Filed under: Ictidomys tridecemlineatus (thirteen-lined ground squirrel)
Lineage: Eukaryota; Metazoa; Chordata; Mammalia; Rodentia; Sciuridae
Description: lncRNA (ENSSTOG00000034688.1)
Source: RNAcentral
UGAGAUUGGAGAAGAGACAUGAGUCCACCAGUGAAUCACAUAGGCUAGGUCAAAACAAAUAGAUGUUUUUUAUCAACAUCAGAGAAACUGAAACCAAUGUACUAUUCCCAGAAACCAGUGAUUUUACCUGGAUUCCACCAUGCCGGU